This 406-nucleotide ribosomal RNA is filed under the name uncultured bacterium. RNAcentral's name for it is "partial 16S ribosomal RNA". It matches the Rfam family "Bacterial small subunit ribosomal RNA", at positions 30 to 526 of the family's 1533-position model. The record is from RNAcentral.
AUUGAACGCUGGCGGCAGGCCUAACACAUGCAAGUCGAACGAGCGGCGGACGGGUGAGUAAUGUCUGGGAAACUGCCCGAUGGAGGGGGAUAACUACUGGAAACGGUAGCUAAUACCGCAUACUAUCGGAUGUGCCCAUAUGGGAUUAGCUUGUAGGUAAGGUAAUGGCUCACCUAGGCGACGAUCCCUAGCUGGUCUGAGAGGAUGAACAGCCACACUGGGACUGAGACACGGUCCAGACGCCUACGGGAGGCAGCAGUGGGGAAUAUUGCACAAUGGGCGCAAGCCUGAUGCAGCCAGGCCGCGUGGAUGAAGAAGGCCUUCGGGUUGUAAAGUACUUUCAGCGGGGAGGCGUUACCCGCAGAAGAAGCACCGGCUAACUCCGUGCCAGCAGCCGCGGUAAUUC